UUAGAGCAAGAUUUGGUUAUGCAUCUAUACCUUGAGUUUGGAUGAUGACAAUGUUGUAUUUGUGUGAGAACAAUUUUGGUACCCUGAUGGGUUGUUAUUGUGUAGCCUUAACAACCAGUUAUGAUUCUGAGUAUAUGACGUGCAACGUCAUCAAUUUCUGAAUAUUGUGUUCCAAAUUUGGCUUCUGCGUUAAUCCUGAAAAGUUCUGAAAGAUAUCAAGUUGUUAUUGCAAUGUUUUUUUUUGCUUUUAUGCUGAUUAACUCCUGAGAAGUUUUUGAAGAUAC
This 284-nucleotide long non-coding RNA is filed under the name Lathyrus oleraceus (garden pea). RNAcentral describes it as "Pisum sativum (pea) long non-coding RNA (PSAT_LNC031051)". Lineage: Eukaryota; Viridiplantae; Streptophyta; Magnoliopsida; Fabales; Fabaceae. The record is from RNAcentral.